CUCUCUACGUGUCUCCAGCAUCGUCAUCAGUUUACUGCAGAGAGAAACCUGACCAACGUAGUCCAGGAGGAUGGACACGACCCGGCCCACCAGGUUCAACAGCCAGGAGACGCUGAUGAACUCACAGAACUGCACGAGACAGGACAUCAGUUUGACAAGAGAGGAGAGUUUCACAAGAGGAAACACUUCUCGGCGUCGUAGCCGUGGUUGAGCAGCAGCCUCAUCAUCACUUCGUCCUUCAGGCAGUACUGCAGAGCUGUAGGAAAUACUGUGUCGUUCACCGCCGUGAAGUAACAGUUCACAUCUGCUUCAGCUGCCAGCAGCAGCUUCACAAUCUCGUAGCGUCCCGACCGAACGGCCACCAGGAGGCAGCGCAGCGGAUCCAGGUCGGGCUUGGCCCCCGACCUCAGCAGCAGCAGCUCCAGGCAGUGGGCGUGGCCUCCAUCAGCAGCAGAGUGGACCGGGCUCUGACCCGUCAACCUCAGGGCACGUCGAGUGGUGAUGGGGAUCAAAAUUCUUAAAGCUCUAGGGAACACAGAGAUUACAUCAUGGCUUUUAAUAUUGUGGUAUGGGCAUCACUGGUUGUACUUGGACUCCCCCUAGUGGAGGUGUCCCUCAUACGCUGCUCGGUGAAUUGGCAACUGGAAGCUGAGAUUUUGGACGUUGGGAUUUGCUCCGUGCUGUAGCAGGAGGUCAAUACAGUCGGGAUUCCCAGAACCUGCAGCAUCGUAGAGGACGCUGUCGCCGUUGGGGGCCUGAGCAUUUACAUCAGCUCCUUAAUGAGAAAACAAAGUCAUGUUCCAUGGACCCAGAUGUAAAAACACCAGGAGUUCCAUGAUGUGGACGCAGCCCCCCCUGGAGGCCUCGUGCAUGGCUGUCCACUUCUUCAGACACACCUGCUCAACCUUAGCUCCUGCAGCCAGGAGGCAGGAGACCACCUGAGGAGAGCCGGCUUGGACCGCUGUGGGAGGACACAGCAGUCCAGUCCAGAAACACCUGUCACUCACCGUAGAGCACCAACUCCAAAACAGAGAGCAGCGGCCGCCCUGCUGCCCUGUGCAGAGGGUAACAGCCAUUCUCAUCCACCUGACUGAAGGCUGCUGGGAAAUCA
Long non-coding RNA from Cynoglossus semilaevis (tongue sole), 1111 nucleotides. RefSeq lists it as uncharacterized. NCBI's taxonomy places the organism in Eukaryota, Metazoa, Chordata, Actinopteri, Pleuronectiformes, Cynoglossidae. The transcript has 6 exons. The record is from RefSeq and is a predicted model, not a curated record.